ACGGGGGGAGCAAGCGUUGUUCGGAUUUACUGGGCGUAAAGGGCGCGUAGGCGGCCAGCACAAGUCAGUUGUGAAAUCUCCGAGCUUAACUCGGAAAGGUCAACUGAUACUGUGCGGCUAGAGUGCGGAAGGGGCAACUGGAAUUCUUGGUGUAGCGGUGAAAUGCGUAGAUAUCAAGAGGAACACCUGCGGCGAAGGCGGGUUGCUGGGCCGACACUGACGCUGAGGCGCGAAAGCUAGGGGAGCGAACGGGAUUAGAUACCCCGGUAGUCCUAGCCUUAAACGAUGAAUGCUUGGUGUCUGGGGUUAUAAAGUCCCCGGGUGCCGUCGCUAACGCUUUAAGCAUUCCGCCUGGGGAGUACGGUCGCAAGACUG
Molecule: ribosomal RNA, 375 nt
Filed under: uncultured bacterium
Lineage: Bacteria
Description: bacterial SSU rRNA
Rfam family: Bacterial small subunit ribosomal RNA
Source: RNAcentral